CAAUGGCCCUAUCGAAGCUCAUCUUUGUCAACUCAUGACAUGUAUGAGUCAAAGUGGAGCCUAAAGCAAACCAUUUCUUUACGGUCGCUGUUUGACGGUUGUUUUCCACGUCUUGCAGCAUUACCAAAAGAUUUGACAUUA
Small nucleolar RNA from Actinia tenebrosa (Australian red waratah sea anemone), 141 nucleotides. NCBI's taxonomy places the organism in Eukaryota, Metazoa, Cnidaria, Anthozoa, Actiniaria, Actiniidae. The record is from RefSeq and is a predicted model, not a curated record.